GCCGGGCUGGUGGAAUUGGUAGACACACGGGACUUAAAAUCCUGUGGACGUUUGUCCGUGCGGGUUCGAGUCCCGCGCUCGGCACCA
This 87-nucleotide transfer RNA is filed under the name Fretibacterium fastidiosum. RNAcentral's name for it is "tRNA-Leu (TAA) (tRNA-Leu-TAA-1-1)". It matches the Rfam family "tRNA". From Rfam's summary of the family: Transfer RNA (tRNA) molecules are approximately 80 nucleotides in length. Their secondary structure includes four short double-helical elements and three loops (D, anti-codon, and T loops). Lineage: Bacteria; Thermotogati; Synergistota; Synergistia; Synergistales; Aminobacteriaceae. The record is from RNAcentral. RNAcentral also lists the same sequence under 1 other name.